This is a long non-coding RNA of Varroa destructor (honeybee mite), 743 nucleotides long. RefSeq lists it as uncharacterized. Lineage: Eukaryota; Metazoa; Arthropoda; Arachnida; Mesostigmata; Varroidae. The record is from RefSeq and is a predicted model, not a curated record.
AGCUGAUAGGAACCGAAAACUUUAUUAGCGUAUUUCUGCCGGUAUAAUCGCAACUGCCAACGAUAGAACCUUGUCGUUGUUGUGAAUUUGGUGAGACCAUGAAAGGCGGAAAAAAAAACCGAUCCGGUUCACUGCUUGGCAAAGCGUAUGCCAGUCCAUUUCCGAUAAGAUCAACUGAGGCAAUGUGCUCAAGCGUAAAAAGGGCAUUUUUCUUCACAAUAAUCACAACGUCUUCCUGAUUGGGUGUACCUUAAUGAUAGCUAUUCUGCUUAUAGCUGCACAAUCGGGCCCCGUACAUAUAAUACGGUGACGAGUGGCUGUGAGAAGCUGUAAGAAGCACGUAAGACUGGUGCCAGAAGGAUGUUCUGCUGAGUUCCGGCCCCUUUUUCUAUUAGCUACGUUUUCCGCGACAGUUAACGAAAUGAUUAAUUCUGGUAUACUGUCUGCCAGGCGAGCGAUGUUACAAUGAGGUAAAGGUUCCAGGAAAAAAAACAAUGUUGUCACAUUUAAGCACACUUAUUUAUUUAAGUCUUAUAUCCCGCCUCAUGUCAAGGGUAAUACUGGGUUACAACCUUUACCUUUGAUUAGUCGACGAGUUGCUGUCUUUUGAAACUUUACAAUCUCUCACAAAAGCUGAAUUUAAUGGGCCUUACAAGAUUGGCGCGCAACUACCUGGAAAAGGCGCACUGCGGUUCGGAUAUCAAAGAUUAAUAAAUAGAGAUAGAACCGAUUCAUAGAGGGGA